This 497-nucleotide ribosomal RNA is filed under the name uncultured bacterium. RNAcentral's name for it is "partial 16S ribosomal RNA". It matches the Rfam family "Bacterial small subunit ribosomal RNA", at positions 28 to 507 of the family's 1533-position model. The record is from RNAcentral.
GAUGAACGCUGGCGGCGUGCCUAAUACAUGCAAGUCGAGCGAACAGAUAAGGAGCUUGCUCCUUUGACGUUAGCGGCGGACGGGUGAGUAACACGUGGGUAACCUACCUAUAAGACUGGGAUAACUUCGGGAAACCGGAGCUAAUACCGGAUAACAUUUGGAACCGCAUGGUUCUAAAGUGAAAGAUGGUUUUGCUAUCACUUAUAGAUGGACCCGCGCCGUAUUAGCUAGUUGGUAAGGUAACGGCUUACCAAGGCAACGAUACGUAGCCGACCUGAGAGGGUGAUCGGCCACACUGGAACUGAGACACGGUCCAGACUCCUACGGGAGGCAGCAGUAGGGAAUCUUCCGCAAUGGGCGAAAGCCUGACGGAGCAACGCCGCGUGAGUGAUGAAGGGUUUCGGCUCGUAAAGCUCUGUUAUUAGGGAAGAACAGACGUGUAAGUAACUGUGCACGUCUUGACGGUACCUAAUCAGAAAGCAACGGCUAACUACGUG